Molecule: long non-coding RNA, 473 nt
Filed under: Homo sapiens (human)
Lineage: Eukaryota; Metazoa; Chordata; Mammalia; Primates; Hominidae
Description: HSALNT0318861
Source: RNAcentral
AAAAAAAAAAAGAAGUUUGGAGUGUCUGCUCCAUGUUGGAUAAAAAAACUAAAUAAAAUCCUGGGAAAUGUGAAGAAUGCCAAAGAAAUGGAAAAAUGAGGACAGAAAAGAAUACUACUGCCUGGUUUCUGUGGCCAUAGGUCAAGCUGGAAAACAUUUUUCCAUAAAACCAUGUGCAAUUUCAUGCCACAGGUGAAAGAAUAGCCCAAAUCCACAAGAGGGAAUUUGGAUGUACAAACAGAACCAAGGAUGUGCAGAACCAGAAGAAAGAUCAUGUGAGAACACCGCCCUAAGUAUCUGCAAGCCAUGGAGAGAGACCUCAAAAGAAACUGAACUCUGACAACACCUCUAUCUCGCUCUUCUAGCCUUUAGAACUAUGAGAACAUAAAUCUCGGUUUUUUAAGCCAUCCAGUUUGUAAUACUUUGUUAUGGCUGACACAGAAAACUAAUAAAAGAUACAAAAAUACAGUAAA